RNAcentral lists this small nuclear RNA (112 nucleotides) under Caenorhabditis brenneri. Its description in RNAcentral is "snRNA CBN34182". Lineage: Eukaryota; Metazoa; Nematoda; Chromadorea; Rhabditida; Rhabditidae. The record is from RNAcentral.
GCUUUUUACCCUGUAUAGCCUUAGUUAACUGUCGUUUUCGCACUCUCAGCAGAGUGUGCCGAAUAAGAAGAUAUUCAGGAUACGCACCUCCGGGUGGAUCCGGAGAGGCAAA